AGUGAACGCUGGCGGUAGGCCUAACACAUGCAAGUCGAACGGCAGCACAGUAAGAGCUUGCUCUUACGGGUGGCGAGUGGCGGACGGGUGAGGAAUACAUCGGAAUCUACUUUUUCGUGGGGGAUAACGUAGGGAAACUUACGCUAAUACCGCAUACGACCUACGGGUGAAAGCAGGGGAUCUUCGGACCUUGCGCGAUUGAAUGAGCCGAUGUCGGAUUGGCUAGUUGGCGGGGUAAAGGCCCACCAAGGCGACGAUCCGUAGCUGGUCUGAGAGGAUGAUCAGCCACACUGGAGCUGAGACACGGUCCAGACUCCUACGGUAGGCAGCAGUGGGGAAUGUUGGACAAUGGGCGCAAGCCUGAUCCAGCCAUACCGCGUGGGUGAAGAAGGCCUUCGGGUUGUAAAGCCCUUUUGUUGGGAAAGAAAAGCAGCAGGUUAAUACCCCGCUGUUCUGACGGUACCCAAAGAAUAAGCACCGGCUAACUUCGUG
Molecule: ribosomal RNA, 492 nt
Filed under: uncultured bacterium
Lineage: Bacteria
Description: partial 16S ribosomal RNA
Rfam family: Bacterial small subunit ribosomal RNA
Source: RNAcentral